Molecule: long non-coding RNA, 227 nt
Filed under: Volvox carteri
Lineage: Eukaryota; Viridiplantae; Chlorophyta; Chlorophyceae; Chlamydomonadales; Volvocaceae
Description: long non-coding RNA (VCAR_LNC002636)
Source: RNAcentral
GUCAUGUACAUUGGGAGGAAAAUCAUGACGAUGCUGUACAGCGCGGCACAUAGUACGCGGAAAAACGGAUACCUCGGAUGUGUUGUUUAGUUUUUACUCAUGCUCUUUAGACUUACGGGUGCAGUUACGUCCUGCUGUCCCUUUAUCAGCUGUCACCAUACUGAUGUGCUAUAUUUCAUUUUCGUUGAAAGGUGCUGAAUGUGUGUACAACUCUUCCAGCCUUCUUU